GCUUAUACUAUUCCGAAUAAAGUUUGCUUUUUUAUAAAGGUCUCUUUUCAAUGCAACAAUCGUUUAGUUUAUUUUAAUUUCAUAAUUGUCAUAAUACACAAUUACUAUAUACACCUAUGAAUGAAAAGUUUAAUAAACAACGAUACCCGGGAAACAAUAGGUCUGUUCUAAUCUACACAGAUCUAUGUUUUGGAACAAUUAGAUCUACUUUGUUUUGAACAUAUCUAUUUUGAUCACUAGAUCUUCUUUAAUCUCUGUUGGUCCAUCAAAUCUUUCAUUGUCAAGAUCAAUGGAGAUCCCCUCAGGAUUGAUAUUCUUCAGUAUUAAAAUUCGGAUGUUUGGUAACAUCACAUUCAUUAUCAGGUAGACGUUGGCAUGUAGGUACUGGUCCAACUUCACAAAUGCAUUUAACACAAACGGAAUCGUAGUGUGUUGCUUGAUUAAGUUCAUCACCAUAAUUCAUUAUCAUAUUACCAAAUUCACAAGUCACAUUUUCUGAAAUAGUAAAAUGUACAUCAAACAUUUAAUUCAUCAAUAUUAUACUUCAUUUUACUUUUUAUAUUUACCAUAUUCUGCUAGGUUCUUUUUUUCUCCAUCUCGUUUAAUUAUUUCAUCUCGUUUAUUUUCUAAAAAAAUUGACGAUUGAUUUUGUUAAAUAAAAAUUUACCAUCAUAAUUAAUUAAUGAAAAUAAUUUACGUACGACAUCGGAAUGAUAAACUGCAAUGCUUUUGUGGUGACUGAGAUGAAUAGUAAACUGGUGCACAUUUAUGAUGAAUGUCAUAUGCGUGGUACAAUUCACUUCCACAUUCAUAAGCUGAAGUUACACAGAAAGGUUCUACGUUUUCACCUGGAAAUGAAUUUUUCUAAUCAGCCAUUAGCUAUUUCCGAUUAAUUUUUAUUCAAUUAAAUCCGUUACCUUUAUAUCCAGGACCACAAUAACAGUCUUUUUCAGGUUGUGAUGCAGGUUUAAAAUACUCUCCAUCUUUGUAUAUUUUCCCAUCAACUUCACAAGUAGGUCGAUCUUCUAGUUUUUCAGCUGUUAAAAUAAAAUCAUUAAUUCACAAUUUAAAAUUUUGCGAUUUUACUAUGCCUGUUAUACUAACGACAUAUGAGUUUUUCUGCACAACACUCUGUAGCUUUCUGUGGCUCAUAACAUGUACCAUUUAUUGGCCAAUCUAUUUGAGGACAAUCUAUUUCAGCACAUGUAAAUUGUGCUCUAAAAUCAAUUAGCCAUUAUUAAAAUUCUUUGAUCACAGAUAAUUACAUUACAAUUCUGAACAUCAUACUUACAUUCCAUUAUUUUCUAUGCACAUGCAUUCAAUAUCACAAGGAUUACCAUCUUCAACUCUUAAAGCAUCUCCAAUGUUAUAGUCAUAGUUUUUGAUACGACAUUUAUCGAUAGGUCGUUCCUUCAAGUGAUCACAGUUAAAUUGAUAAGGACAACAAUCACCAGGAUUCUUAAAAAUUGGCUUGCAAUUUAAAUCCUUGAAAUACUUAAGAGGUCCUCGGCAUUGCGUUUGAUCACAUUCUAAAAUUAGAAGACGAAAUAAAGUGAUUUAUUCUCUAUAUGAGUUGAAUUUUAAAAGAGACUUAAUUAAUUAAUUUUUAAUCUCACCAUCAUCUGCUAGAGCUAUUAAAAUCAAGCAGUUAAUUAUUCCUAAAGCAAAAUUACGUCUAGAACUCAUUGUUAAUAUUACAGCAUAUUCUUAUGAAUCAACUAAAGCUGCUUGCUUCUUAUAUAAGGCUGAAGAAGUGAAGGUCAACUUAUCGUGUCUCAUUUAUGUAAAAGUUUAUACAAGUAGAUUUGUAACAUAAUAGAUGUUUGCAAAAAUAAAAAGACGAUGAUGACAUUGA
This 1855-nucleotide long non-coding RNA is filed under the name Chelonus insularis. Its description in RNAcentral is "uncharacterized LOC118066776". The record is from RNAcentral. Lineage: Eukaryota; Metazoa; Arthropoda; Insecta; Hymenoptera; Braconidae.